GACGGGGGAUGCAAGCGUAAUCCGGAAUCACUGGGCGUAAAGCGUCUGUAGGUGGUGAUGCAAGUCACUGGUGAAAAACUCUGGCUCAACCGGAGGAAAGCCAGUAAAACUGCAUGACUAGAGUGUGGGAGAGGUAGAAGGAAUUCCCUGAGUAGCGGUGAAAUGCGUAGAUACAGGGAAGAACACCGGAGGCGAAAGCGUUCUACUGGAACACAACUGACACUGAGAGACGAAAGCUAGGGGAGCGAAUGGG
This 253-nucleotide ribosomal RNA is filed under the name uncultured bacterium. Its description in RNAcentral is "partial 16S ribosomal RNA". It matches the Rfam family "Bacterial small subunit ribosomal RNA", at positions 524 to 776 of the family's 1533-position model. The record is from RNAcentral.